This 327-nucleotide ribosomal RNA is filed under the name uncultured marine bacterium pC2-43. Its description in RNAcentral is "bacterial SSU rRNA". It matches the Rfam family "Bacterial small subunit ribosomal RNA", at positions 527 to 856 of the family's 1533-position model. The record is from RNAcentral. Lineage: Bacteria; Pseudomonadati; Pseudomonadota; Alphaproteobacteria.
GAAGGGACCUAGCGUAGUUCGGAAUUACUGGGCUUAAAGAGUUCGUAGGUGGUUGAAAAAGUUGGUGGUGAAAUCCCAGAGCUUAACUCUGGAACUGCCAUCAAAACUUUUCAGCUAGAGUAUGAUAGAGGAAAGCAGAAUUUCUAGUGUAGAGGUGAAAUUCGUAGAUAUUAGAAAGAAUACCAAUUGCGAAGGCAGAUUUCUGGAUCAUUACUGACACUGAGGAACGAAAGCAUGGGUAGCGAAGAGGAUUAGAUACCCUCGUAGUCCAUGCCGUAAACGAUGUGUGUUAGACGUUGGGAAUUUAUUUUCAGUGUCGCAGGGAAA